GAACUCGAACUAAUUCUACUCUUCACAGAAUUAAACUCCAAUUAUUUUAAAAUUGGACUUUAAUUAAAUUUAAUAAAACUAAUUUUAAACUGCUGACUGUGUUAGUCUCGCCAGCAAAUUUUAAAUUAGAAUAAUCAUAGCGAUAAGAAUUAACGCUCACUAUCAGAUAGCUUAAGAUCUUUCGGCAACAAACUUUAAAAUUGAGCUACAAAAUGCCAAACUACGUUUUAGAGGUGGCUAAACGCCAAAACAACAAUUAUAAUAAUGACAUCCAAAUAUAUCCAUGCCAUGGGCGAGCCCAUUUUUCCUUAAAAGUUCGCAAUGAUAUACAAAGCAAGACUAUGUUUUUAGUAAGCACCGCAAAAGCACAGUUCCAAAAUUUACAUGAACACGUCCUCAAUUAUCUCAUUAAGCUAGAGGGCUAGUAUACACUCUUCGACCAUUCAAGUUGGACCUCAGUCUAUAAUUUCAUGGAAACGACUCUGCUCAUCUUUCAACACUUUCAGUAAGCACCUAACUAACAAAGCAUAAUAGAUGAUCACCAGUAUUAUCUAUUACAAAGCAAAUAUUGGGAAGAGUACCUAACAUAUCGGGACAUUUUCAAGGCGAUGUUUUCUUUUCUAGACUUUUACUGGCACCACAUCGGAGAUCAUUAUUCAACCUAAAAGGACAAAACACUCACUAUUAUGCGUAUCCACACACUGACACCCCCAAGUUGCCAAAACUUUUCAGUGACUGACGUAUGGUAAUGCCAAAGGAAAAUUAAGAAAUGGUCAUCAAACCUUUGAUAUGGAAUGAUCGAUAAUUUAAGACACUUCGAGUCAUCCUUUUUGUAACCUUGCAGCUGAAUGACCUCACAGAAAGAGUAACUUGAUAAAAUAACAAGCAAGCUCCAUAAGAUAGGCAGAGGGUGGACAUAAAGGAGCAUCACAUCACAUCUAUUACUUUAGCUAACUAUAAACCAAAAUUCAUAAUGCGUAGUUUUUAUUAUAUGCCAGCAAGCAUAUUAAUGAUAAUUGAAGAUAUCAACUAGCCGUAAAAUCCUACAACUUUAUUUAGCAUGCUUGACUGAACUUAAUACAGAAAAAUAGUUCAACAAGCUGCUUCUUCACAAGAUCUUUUGAUUUUGACGAAAGUCAGAUACAGUUUAUCAUAUGCUUUUGGAGUUAUUCUUAUACUAGAAUUAAAGUAUCACUUCGGUAACAUGGUAACAUAUAGAUUUUUUUAAUGCACAACUUUGUUAGAGGUGAACUCUAACUUAUGGGAGCCUGGAACCAAAAUCAUUUAAGGAACUAUAUCUAAGUUUUACCCAAAUGAUUUUCUAACAUGAAGUCCUAAUACCAACAAACCACAAAUUUAAUUAUUCAAGGGUCACGUGUUACUUAAAAGUGCAAGCCUUGGUCCUCCCUUUGUAGUCCUUCAAUCCUUACCAGUUGAAUCAUUUGACAAUUAAGCAAUGAAUAUAGGUAUAUAUAGGAGAUUCAUAAAUCAGCCAAGUAAUAUGCCCAUGUUAUUGAGACGGCUAACAAAAACAACAUUUGCUCUAAUAGUUCAACAUGCUUUUAGAUCGAUUCCAAUUAGAUUAUUGAUCAAUUGACUUUAUUACUUCAAUUUGACAGAAGCAAGAAACAUUAUUUACGCGAAAAAAGUUUGUGCAUCAUAACCAAACCAAGCAAUUCCAAAAAAAAAAAAAGAGCGAAUUACCUCAGAAUUAUCAAAAACAGAUCAAAUACAGACUUUGAAAUUUCUAUCGAAAAUUAUUGCUAUUGAAGAAAAUAAAAGCGAUCGCAGUGGGAUUCGAACCCACGACCUUUAGAUCCGGAGUCUAACGCGAUAUCCACUCCGCUAUGCGAUCGUUACACGAAAGUUACCAAAUGAAAAUUUCAAGAAGACCUCCGACAUUCAUAUGAGCAUCGUCAUGCAGAUCUAACAAGUGAAAGGGAAAGGAAAUCUAUCGUAUGACUCCAUUAUUCUUAAGGAAAUUAAGAAAUAAAGAAAAACUAAAUGGCAUAUGAAAACAAAAAUGGCGAAGACGAAAGAGAAUGAAGAUCGACACAUAGCAACUACAUGCACAUAAAUUUAUAAAUUGAUGGAAUCGAAAAUCUAGCAUUGGUAGCGCGAGCGAGAGGAAGAGAGAAAUUAGGUUACCUGGUAGUUUUCUUGUGAGUUUUCUCUCCCACGAUGAAACCAACCGUGUGAUCCUCUUGUUUUAUUGUAUAACUCACUACGGCGUGCGUGGGCCUAACAAGAUUAAUUGCAAUCUCGAUCAAACUUAUACUUAACCAUGCGGCCCACAUCAACACGCGGUUAAUUCUUUUCUCAACCCCACGUGUCAUCCAGCACGUG
Molecule: long non-coding RNA, 2346 nt
Filed under: Vigna radiata
Lineage: Eukaryota; Viridiplantae; Streptophyta; Magnoliopsida; Fabales; Fabaceae
Description: long non-coding RNA (VRAD_LNC009409)
Source: RNAcentral